RNAcentral lists this ribosomal RNA (308 nucleotides) under uncultured soil bacterium. RNAcentral's name for it is "bacterial SSU rRNA". It matches the Rfam family "Bacterial small subunit ribosomal RNA", at positions 26 to 320 of the family's 1533-position model. The record is from RNAcentral.
AGAUUGAACGCUGGCGGCAUGCUUUACACAUGCAAGUCGAACGGUAACAGGCCGCAAGGUGCUGACGAGUGGCGAACGGGUGAGUAAUGCAUCGGAACGUGCCCAGUCGUGGGGGAUAACGCAGCGAAAGCUGUGCUAAUACCGCAUACGAUCUAUGGAUGAAAGCGGGGGACCGAAAGGCCUCGCGCGAUUGGAGCGGCCAGAUGUCAGUAGUAGCUUAGGUUGGGUAGGGGUAAACGGCCCAACGAAGGCGACGACUCUGUAGCGUUGGUUUAGAGGACGGGACCGACGACGACCACACGGUGGAC